Molecule: ribosomal RNA, 247 nt
Filed under: uncultured bacterium
Lineage: Bacteria
Description: partial 16S ribosomal RNA
Rfam family: Bacterial small subunit ribosomal RNA
Source: RNAcentral
GGAUGCUACCGGGCGACCGGAUGCGGAUCUCGAAAGCCUGUCCCAGUUCGGACUGGAGUCUGCAACCCGACUCCACGAAGUUGGAUUCGCUAGUAAUCGCGCAUCAGCCAUGGCGCGGUGAAUACGUUCCCGGGCCUUGUACACACCGCCCGUCAAGCCAUGGGAGCCGGGGGCGCCUGAAGUCCGGGACCGCGAGGACCGGCCUAGGGCGAAACUGGUAACUGGGGCUAAGUCGUAACAAGGUACC